This 226-nucleotide ribosomal RNA is filed under the name Clostridioides sp. ZZV14-6104. Its description in RNAcentral is "partial 23S ribosomal RNA". It matches the Rfam family "Bacterial large subunit ribosomal RNA", at positions 1252 to 1477 of the family's 2925-position model. Lineage: Bacteria; Bacillati; Bacillota; Clostridia; Peptostreptococcales; Peptostreptococcaceae. The record is from RNAcentral.
GAAGCAUGACCGUAAGGACAUGUGGACAGUAUGGGAGUGAGAAUGUUGGCAUGAGUAGCGAGAUGUGGGUGAGAAUCCCACAGGCCGUAAACCCAAGGGUUCCAGGGGAAGGUUCGUCCGCCCUGGGGUAGUCGGGACCUAAGCUGAGGCCGAAAGGCGUAGGUGAUGGACAACAGGUUGAUAUUCCUGUACUACCGAUAACCGUUUGAGAGAUGGGAUGACACAG